RNAcentral lists this ribosomal RNA (1378 nucleotides) under uncultured bacterium. RNAcentral's name for it is "bacterial SSU rRNA". It matches the Rfam family "Bacterial small subunit ribosomal RNA", at positions 28 to 1381 of the family's 1533-position model. The record is from RNAcentral.
GGCGAACGCUGGCGGCGUGCCUAAUACAUGCAAGUCGAGCGAAGUUUUUCUGGUGCUUGCCCCGGAAAAACUUACCGGCGAACGGGUGAGUAACACGUAAAGAACCUGCCUCAUAGACUGGGACAACUAUUGGAAACGAUAGCUAAUACCGGAUAACAGCAUUAACUGCAUGGUUGAUGUUUAAAAGUUGGUUUUGCUAACACUAUGAGAUGGCUUUGCGGUGCAUUAGCUAGGUGGUGGGGUAAAGGCCUACCAAGGAGACGAUGCCUAGCCGACCUGAGAGGGUGAACGGCCACACUGGGACUGGGACACGGACCACACUCCUACGGGAGGCAGCAGUAUGGAAUCUUCCGCAAUGGGCGAAAGCCUGACGGAGCAACGCCACGUGAGUGAAGAAUGAUUUCGGUUCGUACAGCUCUGUUGUUAGAGAAGAAUGAUUGUGUAAUAACUAUACACGGUACAGACGGUACCUAACCAGAAAGCCACGGCUAACUACCUGCCAGCAGCCGCGGUAAUACGUACGUGGCAAGCGUUGUCCGGAAUUAUUGGGCGUAAAGCGCGCGCAGGUGGUUUAAUAAGUCUGAUGUGAAAGCCCACGGCUCAUCCGUGGAGGGUCAUUGGAAACUGUUAAACUUGAGUGCAGGAGAGAAAAGUGGAAUUCCUAGUGUAGCGGUGAAAUGCGUAGAGAUUAGGAGGAACACCGGUGGCGAAGGCGGCUUUUUGGCCUGUAACUGACACUGAGGCGCGAAAGCGUGGGGAGCAAACAGGAUUAAAUACCCUGGUAGUCCACGCCGUAAACGAUGAGUGCUAAGUGUUGGUCUCAUAACGAGAUCAGUGCUGCAGCUAACGCAUUAAGCACUCCGCCUGGGGAGUACGACCGCAAGGUUGAAACUCAAAGGAAUUGACGGGGACCCGCACAAGCGGUGGAGCAUGUGGUUUAUUUCGAAGCAACGCGAAGAACCUUACCCAGUCUUGACAUACUGUGAGGACACAAGAGAUUGUGUUGUUCUGACCUUUGGUUAGACACAGAUACAGGUGGUGCAUGGUUGUUGUCAGCUCGUGUCGUGAGAUGUUGGGUUAAGUCCCGCAACGAGCGCCACCCUUAUAUCUAGUUGCCAGCAGUAAGAUGGGGCCUUUAGAUAGACUGCCAGUGAUAAACCGGAGGAAGGUGGGGAUGACGUCAAAUCAUCAUGCCCCUUAUGACUUGGGCUACACACGUGCUACAAUGGAUAGGAACAAAGAGAAGCGAGCUCGCGAGAGCAAGCAAACCUCACAAAACUAUUCUCAGUUCGGAUUGUAGUCUGCAACUCGCCUACAUGAAGUUGGAAUCGCUAGUAAUCGCGAAUCAGAAUGUCGCGGUGAAUACGUUCCCGGGUCU